AAUCAACGCUGGCGGCGUGCCUCAGACAUGCAAGUCGAACGCGAAAGUUUCCUUCGGGGAGCGAGUAGAGUGGCGCACGGGUGAGUAACACGUAGGUAAUCUACCUUCGGAUGGGGAAUAACAAUCGGAACGGUUGCUAAUACCGCAUAAUGCAGCGGCACCUAAUGGUGACAGUUGUUAAAGCGGGGAUCGUAAGACCUCGCGUCUGAAGAGGAGCCUGCGGCGGAUUAGCUUGUUGGUAAGGUAAUGGCUUACCAAGGCGACGAUCCGUAACCGGCCUGAGAGGGCGGUCGGUCACACUGACACUGACAUACGGGUCAGACUCCUACGGGAGGCAGCAGUCGGGAAUUUUGGGCGAAUGGGCGAAAGCCUGACCCAGCAACGCCGCGUGAAGGAUG
RNAcentral lists this ribosomal RNA (398 nucleotides) under uncultured bacterium. Its description in RNAcentral is "bacterial SSU rRNA". It matches the Rfam family "Bacterial small subunit ribosomal RNA", at positions 32 to 410 of the family's 1533-position model. The record is from RNAcentral.